CUUUACACUGUGUUGGAAAAGAAUGAUAUGCUUAAAUGGCAACUACAAUAUUAUUUUCCCACAUGUUGGCUCUAAGUGUCUAAAACUACCGGUAUAUUUACAAUAAAGUCUAAUUAGCUAAACUAUUUUUGAGGGAAAAAAGGUCGAAGUUUCUCAUAUCUGAAACUAAUUCAAGAGUAUAAGGAGUACCUUGGCCAAUGUGGCUAAAUUGGUUGAGCGCUCUCCCAUGAACCAAGAGGUGGACAGUUCAAUUCCCAAUCAGGGCACAUGCCCAGGUUGCUGGCUUGAUCCCCAGUGUGAGGUGAGCAGGAGGUAGCCAAACAAGGAUUCUCUCUCAUCAUUGAUGUUUCUAUUUCUGUCUUCCUCUACCUUC
Pipistrellus kuhlii (Kuhl's pipistrelle) is the source of this 373-nucleotide long non-coding RNA. RefSeq lists it as uncharacterized. The transcript has 3 exons. Lineage: Eukaryota; Metazoa; Chordata; Mammalia; Chiroptera; Vespertilionidae. The record is from RefSeq and is a predicted model, not a curated record.